GUCAAUGGUAACACCUUACUGAAGUAAGAGACCUGAAGCGCAAGCUUCAGGUCUCUUAUCUUUAGCAGGGAAGCUGGGGAAAUCCAGCUUUCAUUGUCUAGACUAAGCAAUCCAGUCGGCUUCGGCCAACAGGAUUGCUACGUUAUCCAUGUAUCACACCCAAGGAUGAUGCCCAAAUCUUUGGCUCUGUGGCAGCUCUGUAAACAGUCAUGAGGUUAACGUGACAGUCAACUGCGUUGGCAAGCAUGGAUAACAUUGUCGAUGGGCAUCAACGCAAAUCCAGAUUGU
Molecule: non-coding RNA, 288 nt
Filed under: Lactobacillus delbrueckii subsp. bulgaricus ATCC BAA-365
Lineage: Bacteria; Bacillati; Bacillota; Bacilli; Lactobacillales; Lactobacillaceae
Description: Region of HEARO RNA that is 5' to ORF location
Rfam family: HNH endonuclease-associated RNA and ORF (HEARO) RNA
Source: RNAcentral